RNAcentral lists this ribosomal RNA (497 nucleotides) under uncultured bacterium. RNAcentral describes it as "partial 16S ribosomal RNA". It matches the Rfam family "Bacterial small subunit ribosomal RNA", at positions 28 to 507 of the family's 1533-position model. The record is from RNAcentral.
GAUGAACGCUGGCGGCGUGCCUAAUACAUGCAAGUCGAGCGAACGGACGAGAAGCUUGCUUCUCUGAUGUUAGCGGCGGACGGGUGAGUAACACGUGGAUAACCUACCUAUAAGACUGGGAUAACUUCGGGAAACCGGAGAUAAUACCGGAUAAUAUUUUGAACCGCAUGGUUCAAAAGUGAAAGACGGUCUUGCUGUCACUUAUAGAUGGAUCCGCGCUGCAUUAGCUAGUUGGUAAGGUAACGGCUUACCAAGGCAACGAUGCAUAGCCGACCUGAGAGGGUGAUCGGCCACACUGGAACUGAGACACGGCCCAGACUCCUACGGGAGGCAGCAGUAGGGAAUCUUCCGCAAUGGGCGAAAGCCUGACGGAGCAACGCCGCGUGAGUGAUGAAGGUCUUCGGAUCGUAAAACUCUGUUAUUAGGGAAGAACAUAUGUGUAAGUAACUGUGCACAUCUUGACGGUACCUAAUCAGAAAGCCACGGCUAACUACGUG